AGGGGAUUAGUUUAAUGGUAGAACAGCGGUCUCCAAAACCGUUGGUGUGGGUUCGACUCCUGCAUCCCCUGCCA
RNAcentral lists this transfer RNA (74 nucleotides) under Peptococcaceae bacterium. RNAcentral describes it as "tRNA-Trp". It matches the Rfam family "tRNA". Rfam says of the family: Transfer RNA (tRNA) molecules are approximately 80 nucleotides in length. The record is from RNAcentral. Lineage: Bacteria; Bacillati; Bacillota; Clostridia; Eubacteriales; Peptococcaceae.